CCAGAAGGUUCCAGAGGGGCAGUUGGGCUGGGAUGGCGGCAAGGCUGCAGCGCUGGGUGCCAAACCAUCGUUUGUUGCUUAGUUUUUAAUUAUUUUUAUAUUUAUGAGGAAAAAUUGCCCUCACACAGUAGCCUCAGUGCUACAGUCAGGAUUCACCUCCACACCGAGCUGCGGGCACAAACCCGCCGGGAACACCACCACCAGGAUGCAACUGUGCAGCAACUUGCAGAACAGAGACCUGGUUUCACACGGACUCUUGGUGAGGGAGAUGAGCCUGCAGACACCAACAAACAGCUGAACACGAUCAAAAGCUACAGUCAAUGAGGCAGUGGGGAAGAGAGUGUUCACCAACUCUGAGUAGAAAAAGAAAGAACUUCUCCUGUAGCCAUUUUCUCAAGACAUCAGAAAGAUCAAAACCAAGGACUCCGCAGCAAAGGCUGGUGCAGACACAGCAGCACUAGGCAGGACACAACAAGAUGUAAUGCCACAACAAGGCAGAGCUGGAACCCCUGAACCUGCAACCAUUGAAAAAGCUACAGUCAUCAGGCAGGAAGGAAAUGAGAUUCUGAAUGAGGGCAGUAGUCUUAACGUAUACCAUGACUGACUGUGGCUAGUCUCAGGUCCUUGACUGUUGAUGAAGGUGUGUUUAAGGGAAGCAGCCUGACUUGGACAUAUUUUAGAUCAGAUACAUGCCAUCAAUCUGGUCCCUUGUGGGGGAACAUCCCUUGAGCAGCAGCAGUUCCCAGAAACCUGACAAGCCCUGAAGCAAAAUGUCUGCAAGGAAAGGGAGUUCUACCUGAUGAGAGACAGCUCAACAUAGGUGUCCUUCUCUGCAGAGAGGACAAUUACCCUGUGGAUGGAGGCACUGAAAGUGCACAGCAUUUCAAAGCAAAAUAUUGUUACUUAAUAGAAGUAGCUGGGAGGAUUAGGCAUUGCUCUGGAAGCAUGGAAAAAGCUUGUUAUUUCUACCUGUACCACCCUGUUCUGCAGGUGAAGAUGAUGCGAAUACGAGCUCAUCUCAAGAGGUUUAACCCCAACCAGGCAGCUGGGUUGUUUGUGGCACCUGCUGCGUUCUGCCCGAGCACACAUACACAUUCAUGCACCGUAGGAGCUCCUUUGGGCAGCUGCCACGCUCCUGAGUGUGAGUCAAGGAUCACUAUGCCUGCUCCAGCAGCCACUCAGGCCAAGAGGGGACAAGGCUCAGACUGCACCGUGCUUUUCAAGGGUCAUCACAACAGCAGAGUUACCACCGCAUGAGUCGCUUCCUACAUACCUGAGCCAAAAUUCAAGCUUACAAGUACAUGGUGUUUUCCAAAAGCCGUAAGACUAUCAUCAGACUUUCUUGGCUUGCAUGAACUGGUUCAGCUAAAGCAAAAACUGAUUUAAAGCAACCAACAAUCUAGCCACUUCAUUUCUGAGGUACUGCUAAGUUAAAGAGAAUUUGGAUGUAGCAAAAUCCUUGAUCCCAAAUGUCCCAGUUUUAAGGAAAGCUUUAAGCCAAACGUGUACUUUACAGCUAACCCCUGUCAUCUUAGAAGGUCAGACCAGAAGCUUGGCACUGAAUGCCCUGCUCCACCUUUAACAGAGCACAAAACCAAAGACUUUUUUUUCCUACAAGAAAUGCUAAUGCUAUACAGAGGGUGUGAUUUUAAUUGCACUCUCCCUUGAAAGUGAUGAAAAUUUUACCAACUCCAAGGAUAUGUUUAUUUGGCCACACAUUCAAACCAUUGCCAGUACACCAAGGUCUCCUGGCUUGAAGAUUCAAGAACGCUAAAUGCAGUAAUCACAUGUUAAAGUUUGAAACUAAAUGCAAGAGAGUCAGGAAAUUCCAAAAUCAACUUAUCUACCACAACCAUAACUCAGCCCUGGUAGUUAGCCUUAUUUUAUCACUUUAUUGUAUGUGCAGUGAUAGAUUUAUGACUUAAGAUGUGGCCAGGCCACAGUGUCAGUGGGAGGCUUUGCUAAGGAACAUCCUGGGUUUUGUGCAUUUCUAAUCUCACUCUUAACAUGGCAUUAAUGUGUUUGCACUUACCAGCAUUAUGCUUCAGGGUUUUCUUACAGCAUGACCUGGGCCAGAAAUAAUCCACGAGUGUUGCCAAAGGACAGGACAGCACUAACACAGCUGACAGAACACAGCUUCUCAGAUCAAUUCAAAGUAUUUGAGCUCCAUCGUGUGGAGCGUGCCUGCACAUACGAUCUGGCUUUCUAAUAAAUCUCUUAAAAAAAAUAGAAGAAUGCUCAAAUACACUACAAAUCAAGGAAACCUUUGACAGAAAGUAAGAUUCACACUGCUCCUUGCUGAGGAGCAAAAUGUGACAGGGCUGAGUUUGCCAGAGCCCUGGGACAGCAACACGGAAGGGCUGCAGCUCAUCACAGGGCACAUCGCUGCCAUGCUGGUUAAGAAGGAUCAAGACCAGCUCACCGCAAGGUUUUUAAUUAGACUCACUUCACACUAGCAUUUGCUGCAUUGAUCAUGGAAAGGUUGUUAAAUGAACCUAGCUCACAGGUCUAUGUGUUUUGUAACCUUUUUCAUUCUGCUAGCACUGGAGUAUUGAAAUUCACACCGUGACACUGAAUGCUUGCUGCAUACAAACAGUGUGACCUCUUGUGAAAGUCAUUUUGCAGCUUAAGUUAAAGGAGUGAGAAAGUUUCACAUCUGAAUUAUAUCCCAUUUCUCACAUCCUUUUACACUGUAGGCUUUACUUUGAAAGCAUCUCUGUAUCAAAUAUAGCCCAGAGGACCCUUAUCUUGCUGGCUCCCUGGGAUGUGUUCAAAGAGUUAUAUACAAAGCAAAAAAAUAUAUAUCAUUCUGAGAUAGGCAAAAGCUUCUGUAUUUCUGGAAGGAAAGACAUGGAUGGCCACUGGGGUUCAUAAGAGGUUUUGUGACAGUGAGCAUAUCUUCUCAUGGAAACACAUAAUUUAUAGAAUGUAUAUAAAAUAUAUAGAUGUUUUCAUUUUUAAAUUACAAAUGAUAACAAGGAUUCCUACAGGCCAGUGAAAUACACUUUGUUACAAGAAAGCAGAGCAGCUGUCAUGGUGUGAAGAAUUUGGUGAAGCGGGCAAGGAGGACACCAAGGGGAAAUAUCUGACACCAGGCUACUCCUCAUCCAAGCAAGAAGCGUCCAAAGCUGCCAAGUCAGAGACUCAAGCCAGAAAUCAGACCAUUAUUUAUUUUUCAAUUGCUACUUCUGGUGACUUCUCUACCAUUUGAUUCCCAAAUCAAGACCAAGAGACUAUCCUACAAAGGCCAAAGCAGUGCAAAACCUGUCCGCAGCUGUUGGACUAACAUUAUGCAGUCAUAUUAGAGAAGUAUUGUAGUCUCUUCUGGCCCUACAGACAAUCAGGGAAUCUAUUUACCUGCAUUACAGAUGAUCACAAAAACCUCUCUGCCAAUUCUCUAAAAUGACUCCAGUCUUUAAUCAGAAGGCAUUUACAAGAGACAGAGGGCUGAAAAGAGGACUCCUGUGGUCAUCCCUCAGCCCCAGAUCAGAGGGAUGCUGCACUCACUGCACUUUGUUUCCGCCAUGCCCAGAUCCCCACUUUGUAGUGUGCAUCUGUUGGGUGACCUGGACUAAAGCUGAUAGCACAUUUUUCCCCUCAAUUUUCACUCCUGAAAAUUAAGAACUACUAGACUGACAUGUUAUCAGACCGCAUCCACCUCUGAAGGUGUAUGGGCAAAGACCAUGUACCUCAAAUCCGGGAUUCAGAUAGGUUACCUCCUUUUUUGAUGUCCUGAGCAUCUAUCUUCUCCUACUGAAGACACAGAAAAAAGCGCUCGUUUGCCCCCCUCCCACCGAGGUGCAGCUUUGUUUAUUCAGAGAUAGAUAGUGUUUAUUCUGAGAUAGGAGCAAGAGGACUGCAGGAACUCCGCACA
Molecule: RNA transcript, 3874 nt
Organism: Numida meleagris (helmeted guineafowl)
Lineage: Eukaryota; Metazoa; Chordata; Aves; Galliformes; Numididae
Exons: 6
Source: RefSeq, a predicted model, not a curated record